AUGACUGUAAAGCAAGCAGGAGGCAAGAGUAACAGAGGAGAGCCUGGAGGAGACUAUACUGCAUCUCAGCAGGUACCCACACUCCAUGGGUAUCACAGACACUUAGAACCUGGCAAGGUACCAUGCAACUCAUCACAUAUACAGAUACAAGUAGGGUUGCCAGUGCUGUUUUCUUUAAGUCAGACAUUUAAUUAUUUGGUCUCAGGAAGACAUGUAGAAAGACAUGUAGAAUUAUUGUGUUCACUUUUCCAGUCAACUCAUGCAGUUGUACGUUGCAACACUGAAAGUUACUCUGUCCCCAGAGGAAUAUUUGCUGACCCCCAACUUAGAACAAUUCAACAUGCAAAUAAAGGCUUGUAUCAAGAUACGGAGGUAAAGACAAAUCAAGAAGGCAAGUAUAGGAGCCACAGAGAAGUGGGGGAGCUGUGGGGAACAUCACCCACAGCAGUCAUGGGCAUUUAAACACUUCUGGGAGGUGAUUUAAGCCUGAACAAAGUAGAUUUUUGGAGUCUUGGCUAGAAGAUCUUGGCUCUAACAGAAGAGAAAUGAGAAGAAACCCUAGAAAGCUGCAUAGGCCUAGAAAGGUGAGGACAGAGGGCCCUUUGGGCAGGGUAGGGGUGCAAAGUCUAGAUUGCAUGCCUCCGGGAGUAAAAUCAGUGUUAAGUACACAGAGGGGAUCUGAUAGAACAGUCUAAUUAAUACUGUUCUCUCCCAGAAUCCCUUUUUUUUACUCACCAUCUCCCACCAAAUCCAUUUUCCAUCUUAUUAUUAACCGUUCUAAACUCAGCUUGAGAAUUACAGCCUUCCCCCUCCCCCGCAAGGAAGCCCUUCCCAGGUACCCAGUCUGCCUAGCCACAGCUUGUUUCAGGACAUUCCAGCUUUGGCAGGUUGCCACAAUGUCCCUUGUCCCCCUAGUUCCUUGGCAGAAGCCUACCACAUGGGCACAUGGCAUCCCAAAAUAAAAGGCUCCACUUCCCAGCAUCCCUUGCUGUAAGGCCUGGCCAUGAGACUUCCAUCUGGCCAAGAAUCAGGAGCAGUGCAAAAAACCUUACCAGACAGCUGGCACGUGCCCUCUGUCCCUUCCCUUUUCUUUUUCACUGGUUUGGAACCUGCCGAGUGGUAGCUAAAGCUCAAAUAUCUUUGUCCCCAGGGUGCACAUGAAGUACAGUGGAAGGGCAAGAUGGACAUAUGCUUGCACAGGGGUCCGUGUGUGGUACAGCAGUCUCUUGGUUGGCUAAGCUCUGCACUCCUAUGCUUUAGAAAAAAAUGUCUCACUUAGACAACUUUUUUCCUUAUUACGUACGUAUCCAAUUUUGUGACCCCAUGGACUACAGCCCACCAGACUCCUCUGUCCAGGGAACUCUCCAGGCAAAGAUACUAGAGUGGAUAGCCAUUCCCCUCUCCAGGGGAUCUUCCAAAUUCAGGAGUCGAACCAGGGUUCCCUGCACUGCAGGCAGAUUCUUUACCAUCUGAGCCACCAGGGAAGCCCAA
This 1491-nucleotide long non-coding RNA is filed under the name Capra hircus (goat). Its description in RNAcentral is "lncRNA (ENSCHIG00010018528.1)". Lineage: Eukaryota; Metazoa; Chordata; Mammalia; Artiodactyla; Bovidae. The record is from RNAcentral.